AAACGUUGCCUCGGCGGGAACAGACGGCCCCGUAACACGGGCCGCCCCCGCCAGAGGACCCCCUAACUCUGUUUCUAUAAUGUUUCUUCUGAGUAAACAAGCAAAUAAAUUAAAACUUUCAACAACGGAUCUCUUGGCUCUGGCAUCGAUGAAGAACGCAGCGAAAUGCGAUAAGUAAUGUGAAUUGCAGAAUUCAGUGAAUCAUCGAAUCUUUGAACGCACAUUGCGCCCGCCAGUAUUCUGGCGGGCAUGCCUGUUCGAGCGUCAUUACAACCCUCAGGCCCCCGGGCCUGGCGUUGGGGAUCGGCGGAAGCCCCCUGCGGGCACAACGCCGUCCCCCAAAUACAGUGGCGGUCCCGCCGCAGCUUCCAUUGCGUAGUAGCUAACACCUCGCAACUGGAGAGCGGCGCGGCCACGCCGUAAAACACCCAACUUCUGAAUGUUGACCUCGAAUCAGGUAGGAAUACCCGCUGAACUUAAGCAUAUCAAUA
This 491-nucleotide ribosomal RNA is filed under the name Fusarium sp. VG-2013. Its description in RNAcentral is "partial 18S ribosomal RNA". The stretch from base 114 to 267 matches the Rfam family "5.8S ribosomal RNA". The record is from RNAcentral. Lineage: Eukaryota; Fungi; Ascomycota; Sordariomycetes; Hypocreales; Nectriaceae.